Molecule: long non-coding RNA, 863 nt
Organism: Eriocheir sinensis (Chinese mitten crab)
Lineage: Eukaryota; Metazoa; Arthropoda; Malacostraca; Decapoda; Varunidae
Exons: 3
Source: RefSeq, a predicted model, not a curated record
CUCUCCACCUGGUCCUCUGUCUGGUGUUAGUGUGCUCCAUCCUGCCCCGGUAAAGGUUCUAAUUCCACCUCUCCACCUGGUCCUCUGUCUGGUGUUAGUGUGCUCCAUCCUGCCCCGGUAAAGGUUCUAAUUCCACCUCUCCACCUGGUCCUCUGUCUGGUGUUAGUGUGCUCCAUCCUGCCCCGGUAAGGGUUCUAAUUCCACCUCUCCACCUGGUCCUCUGUCUGGUGUUAGUGUGCUCCAUCCUGCCCCGGUAAGGGUUCUAAUUCCACCUCUCCACCUGGUCCUCUGUCUGGUGUUAGUGUGCUCCAUCCUGCCCCGGUAAGGGUUCUAAUUCCACCUCUCCACCUGGUCCUCUGUCUGGUGUUAGUGUGCUCCAUCCUGCCCCGGUAAGGUUCUAAUUCCACCUCUCCACCUGGUCAUCUGUCUGGUAUUAGAGAAAAGGAGAAGGGAGAGAGAAAGGAAAAGGAUAAGGAAGGGAAAACAGAAGAGGAAAGGAAGAGAAAAGAGGAAAGGAAGAUUGGAAUAAGGAAAGAAAGAGGAGGAAAAAGGAGGAGGAGGAGGAAAGAUGAGGAAAAGAAAGAAAAGGAGAAGGAGGAGGAGGAAGGAGAAGAAGAAUAUAUUUAAAAAGUUCACAUAAGAGAUUCAAUUCUAAGCUUACAAGAUAUCACAAAGCUUACCUAUCAAUUAUUUCCUUUCUAUAUUAAUCUUAUCUUUUGUUUUCCUUUCCUUUUUCUUCCUUUCUGAUAAUGUGUUUGACUGUAUAAGACUUUCCUGUUUUUGUUGAUAUUAAAAGAUAGAUAGAUAGAUAGAUAGAUAGAUAGAGAGAGAGAGAGAGAGAGAGAGAGAGAGAGAGAGAGAGA